Molecule: ribosomal RNA, 443 nt
Filed under: uncultured bacterium
Lineage: Bacteria
Description: partial 16S ribosomal RNA
Rfam family: Bacterial small subunit ribosomal RNA
Source: RNAcentral
CCUACGGGUGGCAGCAGUGGGGAAUAUUGGACAAUGGGCGAAAGCCUGAUGCAGCAACGCCGCGUGAGGGAAGAAGGAUUUCGGCACGUAAACUUCUAUCAACAGGGACGAAAGCAAUGACGGUACCUGACCAAGAAGCCCCGGCUAACUACGUGCCAGCAGCCGCGGUAAUACGUAGGGGGCAAGCGUUAUCCGGAAUUACUGGGUGUAAAGGGUGAGUAGGCGGCAUGGUAAGCCUGAUGUGAAAGCCGGGGGCUUAACCCGAGGAUUGCACUUGGAACUGUAAAGCUGGAGUGCAGGAGAGGUAAGCGGAAUUCCUAGUGUAGCGGUGAAAUGCGUAGAUAUUAGGAAGAACACCAGUGGCGAAGGCGGCUUACUGGACUGAAACUGACGCUGAGGCACGAAAGCGUGGGGAGCGAACAGGAUUAGAUACCCGUGUAGUC